RNAcentral lists this microRNA (23 nucleotides) under Oikopleura dioica. RNAcentral's name for it is "odi-miR-1497f". The record is from miRBase by way of RNAcentral. Lineage: Eukaryota; Metazoa; Chordata; Appendicularia; Copelata; Oikopleuridae.
UUGAAGAAUUGCAGGUGGUAGGG